This 75-nucleotide transfer RNA is filed under the name Caudoviricetes sp. RNAcentral's name for it is "tRNA-Met". It matches the Rfam family "tRNA". Rfam says of the family: Transfer RNA (tRNA) molecules are approximately 80 nucleotides in length. Their secondary structure includes four short double-helical elements and three loops (D, anti-codon, and T loops). Lineage: Duplodnaviria; Heunggongvirae; Uroviricota; Caudoviricetes. The record is from RNAcentral.
GGCAAUGUAGUGAAAAGGUUAUCACGACUGACUCAUAUUCAGUAAUUUCAAGUUCGAUUCUUGACAUUGCUACCA